Molecule: long non-coding RNA, 253 nt
Filed under: Gallus gallus (chicken)
Lineage: Eukaryota; Metazoa; Chordata; Aves; Galliformes; Phasianidae
Source: RNAcentral
GGGUCUGUCCCUUCCAGGCGGGGGUAGCGUACUAAAUUGGCCAGCUGGAACAUGUCAGCACUGAGCCCCAAGUCCCUCUGUCUGGAGGAUUUGAUUUUGAUGCCACGAAGGCGAACAUCAAUCCCAUCAUCUCUGCACUCCACAAUCCGGAUCUCGAUGACAGGCAGGUGUGUUGUCAUGUCCUCAAGGACGCACACAUCCCCAAUGUAACUCUCAUCAAUGCCAACAUCGUUCAGUUUCUUCAGAUUGUCCC